UGCAAGUCGAACGGCAGCNCGGGAGCAAUCCUGGUGGCGAGUGGCGAACGGGUGAGUAAUAUAUCGGAACGUGCCCAGUCGUGGGGGAUAACGUAGCGAAAGCUACGCUAAUACCGCAUACGAUCUAUGGAUGAAAGCGGGGGAUCGCAAGACCUCGCGCGAUUGGAGCGGCCGAUAUCAGAUUAGGUAGUUGGUGAGGUAAAGGCUCACCAAGCCGACGAUCUGUAGCUGGUCUGAGAGGACGACCAGCCACACUGGGACUGAGACACGGCCCAGACUCCUACGGGAGGCAGCAGUGGGGAAUUUUGGACAAUGGGCGCAAGCCUGAUCCAGCAAUGCCGCGUGCAGGAUGAAGGCCUUCGGGUUGUAAACUGCUUUUGUACGGAACGAAACGGUGAGCUCUAAUACAGUUUGCUAAUGACGGUACCGUAAGAAUAAGCACCGGCUAACUACGUG
Molecule: ribosomal RNA, 456 nt
Filed under: uncultured bacterium
Lineage: Bacteria
Description: bacterial SSU rRNA
Rfam family: Bacterial small subunit ribosomal RNA
Source: RNAcentral